GAAGACAGACUGUUGUGUCUUCUGGUCUUGUAGUCGGUUUCUAAAAGCUCACAUUUAGAAAAAGGAGAAAAGAAGGAGAACCAGAAAGGAAGCAAAGAAGAAAUAAUCCAAGGAAUAGAAUAGGAACCAAGAGAGUCAGAGAAACAAGGAGGAGAAAGUUUCAAGAAACGGACAGUGGUUAACUGUGCAAAACAAAUUGAGGAAGGAAGACGAGGACUAAAACGGGACCUUUAAGUGAGCAAUGAGGAUACCAUGACAGCAUUUGACAGCAUUUUCACCAGAAUGGAUAAUAUCUCUGCCUAAGUACAAGUAAGUUGAAAAAGCAAGUGGGUGUUGGAAUUGCCCUGAACAGCUUUGAAGUGCUAUACUAAUAAGGUGGUGUUGAUUUUAGUGUCGUCAUAGAAACAAAAAACAUGUCGGAGAACUAAAGCCACUUAAAACUCCUGACUCCAGCCCAUCACGUCCCCUUGACUUGUUUGUGAAAGAUGCCAGUAAAAACAAUGAGAGGGGAGGAGCUAAUUCAGAUUUCUUCCUUUAGCUGCGGACCCUAAGUAGAAAUCUUCACUCUUUAUCUUGAGAAGGAAGCCAGCACCAUCUCUGACACAAAAGUUCCUUACAGCACAAAUGGCUGUCUGACCAGAGUUCCUUCUUCUCUUGCCAUUGGCUGACAUUGUUCAUAAAAUACACUUUGCUGUUUCACUUUUUUUUAAAACAAGCAAACUGAAUUACUUGGAGGAGGAAGACAGCAGAGACAGAGGAUACAGAGCCACGGCAGCUGAAAGAAAGAAAACUCAGCAGGGGUAACCCUAAUCUCCUAACCUCCAGGAUCUAAUGCCUGAUGAUCUGAGGUGGAGCUGAGGUAAUAAUAAUAAUAGACAUAAAGUGCGCAGUUAAUGUGAUAUGUCUGAAUCAUCCGGAAACCAUCACCCCCGCCCUGGU
Long non-coding RNA from Bos indicus x Bos taurus (hybrid cattle), 939 nucleotides. Lineage: Eukaryota; Metazoa; Chordata; Mammalia; Artiodactyla; Bovidae. The record is from Ensembl.